UGGGCAAACUUACUGAAAGGUAAGGACGCAAAGCUAAGGGUCUAACCCAUGAAAAUCAUGGUAUGGCAGCCGGUUGCUA
Molecule: non-coding RNA, 79 nt
Filed under: human gut metagenome
Also listed under: 1 other name
Description: Cyclic di-GMP-I riboswitch
Rfam family: c-di-GMP-I riboswitch aptamer
About the family: GEMM was predicted in a large-scale screen for bacterial structured RNA regulatory elements. Genes associated with GEMM are involved in a diverse array of functions, including chemotaxis regulation, signal transduction, secretion and chitin.
Source: RNAcentral